Long non-coding RNA from Scylla paramamosain (green mud crab), 322 nucleotides. RefSeq lists it as uncharacterized. The record is from RefSeq and is a predicted model, not a curated record. The transcript is spliced from 2 exons. NCBI's taxonomy places the organism in Eukaryota, Metazoa, Arthropoda, Malacostraca, Decapoda, Portunidae.
CUCCUGUCCACUACCCCAACUUCUACUCCCAACACUACCACAGCAAUGAGCGGUCUGGUGUGGUGGCUGAGGAUUCUUUUGAAGAGGACAAUGCUUCUGCUUCAUCUGAGCAGAGACCUCCAUUCUUGGAGACUUCAAUGUUCACCACCAGCUUUGGGUUUCCUCUCCCUUCACUGACCAUCAUGGUGAACUAGCCUUCAACUUUGCUAUCCUCCAAUUGGUGCAACACCCUGCUCAUAUCCUUGACCGUUUUAGAGAUGCAUACUAAUCAGUCACUUCCUACACUCAUACCUUAUAUUACUUCCCCCCUGAUCUUACAAAA